This 122-nucleotide non-coding RNA is filed under the name Propionibacterium acidifaciens. RNAcentral's name for it is "FMN sequence". It matches the Rfam family "FMN riboswitch aptamer (RFN element)". Rfam says of the family: The RFN element is a highly conserved domain that is found frequently in the 5'-untranslated regions of prokaryotic mRNAs that encode for flavin mononucleotide (FMN) biosynthesis and transport proteins. This element is a metabolite-dependent riboswitch that directly binds FMN in the absence of proteins. In Bacillus subtilis, the riboswitch most likely controls gene expression by causing premature transcription termination within the 5' untranslated region of the ribDEAHT operon and precluding access to the ribosome-binding site of ypaA mRNA. The record is from RNAcentral. Lineage: Bacteria; Bacillati; Actinomycetota; Actinomycetes; Propionibacteriales; Propionibacteriaceae.
CAACGUGCCCGGGGUCGGUGAAAACCCGAACCGGCGGUGACAGCCCGCGAACCAGCCCAGAGCUGGCCGAACCGGUGGGAUUCCGGUGCCGACGGUGACAGUCCGGAUGGGAGAGCAUGUGC